This 72-nucleotide transfer RNA is filed under the name Camelus bactrianus (Bactrian camel). It matches the Rfam family "tRNA". Rfam says of the family: Transfer RNA (tRNA) molecules are approximately 80 nucleotides in length. Their secondary structure includes four short double-helical elements and three loops (D, anti-codon, and T loops). Further hydrogen bonds mediate the characteristic L-shaped molecular structure. tRNAs have two regions of fundamental functional importance: the anti-codon, which is responsible for specific mRNA codon recognition, and the 3' end, to which the tRNAs corresponding amino acid is attached (by aminoacyl-tRNA synthetases). tRNAs cope with the degeneracy of the genetic code in two manners: having more than one tRNA (with a specific anti-codon) for a particular amino acid; and 'wobble' base-pairing, i.e. permitting non-standard base-pairing at the 3rd anti-codon position. Lineage: Eukaryota; Metazoa; Chordata; Mammalia; Artiodactyla; Camelidae. The record is from Rfam by way of RNAcentral. RNAcentral also lists the same sequence under 2 other names.
GAGGGUAUAGCUCAGUGGUAGAGCACUUGCUUAGCACGCAUGAGGACCUGGGUUCAAUCCCCAGUACCUCCU